AAGCUCGUAGUUGAAUUUCGGGAUUGGCAUAUCGGUCGUGCCUUCGGGCACGUACUGGUAGUUGUUAAUCUCCACCUUCUAGUGAACUAUUAUGCCUUUUACUAGGUGUAAUAGGGAGCUAGGACUGUUACUUUGAAAAAAUUAGAGUGUUUAAAGCAGGCUUUAAGCUUGAAUAGAUUAGCAUGGAAUAACGAAAUAGGACGGCAUGAUUCUAUUUUGUUGGUUUCUAGGAUCACCGUAAUGAUUAUAGGGAUGGG
RNAcentral lists this ribosomal RNA (257 nucleotides) under uncultured Glomus. Its description in RNAcentral is "partial 18S ribosomal RNA". It matches the Rfam family "Eukaryotic small subunit ribosomal RNA", at positions 624 to 881 of the family's 1831-position model. Lineage: Eukaryota; Fungi; Glomeromycota; Glomeromycetes; Glomerales; Glomeraceae. The record is from RNAcentral.